GAAAAAGGCCAUAGAUUUUAAAUCUAGAGGAUUUAAAUUGUUUCCAGGGAAAGACAACAGCAACAAGUUUUCUAUCUUAAAUGAGGGAGGUAUUAAACAGGCAUCCAAUUUGUGUCCAGAUCCUGGAGAACCAGAAAAUGGAAAACGGAUAGGCUCAGAUUUUAGCUUGGGUGCAACAGUACAGUUCUCCUGCGAUGAAGAUUAUGUGCUACAAGGUUCCAAAAGUAUCACCUGUCAGAGGAUAGCUGAAGUUUUUGCCGCAUGGAGUGAUCAUAGACCUGUG
Calidris pugnax (ruff) is the source of this 283-nucleotide long non-coding RNA. RefSeq lists it as uncharacterized. The transcript has 3 exons. The record is from RefSeq and is a predicted model, not a curated record. Lineage: Eukaryota; Metazoa; Chordata; Aves; Charadriiformes; Scolopacidae.